This 709-nucleotide ribosomal RNA is filed under the name uncultured bacterium. RNAcentral's name for it is "bacterial SSU rRNA". It matches the Rfam family "Bacterial small subunit ribosomal RNA", at positions 374 to 1074 of the family's 1533-position model. The record is from RNAcentral.
GGCGAAGCCUGAUCCAGCAAUGCCGCGUGUGUGAAGAAGGCCUUCGGGUUGUAAAGCACUUUUGUCCGGAAAGAAAUGGCUCUGGUUAAUACCUGGGGUCGAUGACGGUACCGGAAGAAUAAGGACCGGCUAACUACGUGCCAGCAGCCGCGGUAAUACGUAGGGUCCAAGCGUUAAUCGGAAUUACUGGGCGUAAAGCGUGCGCAGGCGGUUGUGCAAGACCGAUGUGAAAUCCCCGAGCUUAACUUGGGAAUUGCAUUGGUGACUGCACGGCUAGAGUGUGUCAGAGGGGGGUAGAAUUCCACGUGUAGCAGUGAAAUGCGUAGAGAUGUGGAGGAAUACCGAUGGCGAAGGCAGCCCCCUGGGAUAACACUGACGCUCAUGCACGAAAGCGUGGGGAGCAAACAGGAUUAGAUACCCUGGUAGUCCACGCCCUAAACGAUGUCAACUAGUUGUUGGGGAUUCAUUUCCUUAGUAACGUAGCUAACGCGUGAAGUUGACCGCCUGGGGAGUACGGUCGCAAGAUUAAAACUCAAAGGAAUUGACGGGGACCCGCACAAGCGGUGGAUGAUGUGGAUUAAUUCGAUGCAACGCGAAAAACCUUACCUACCCUUGACAUGCCACUAACGAAGCAGAGAUGCAUUAGGUGCUCGAAAGAGAAAGUGGACACAGGUGCUGCAUGGCUGUCGUCAGCUCGUGUCGUGAGAUG